GUGGGGAAUAUUGGGCAAUGGGCGCAAGCCUGACCCAGCAACGCCGCGUGAGGGAAGAAGGCUUUCGGGUUGUAAACCUCUGUCCUUGGUGACGAAAAAAAUGACGGUAGCCAAGGAGGAAGCCCCGGCUAACUACGUGCCAGCAGCCGCGGUAAUACGUAGGGGGCGAGCGUUGUCCGGAAUUACUGGGCGUAAAGGGUGCGUAGGUGGCCUUUUAAGUUGGAUGUGAAAUACCCGGGCUUAACUUGGGGGGUGCAUCCAAAACUGGGAGGCUAGAGUGCAGGAGAGGAAAGCGGAAUUCCUAGUGUAGCGGUGAAAUGCGUAGAUAUUAGGAGGAACACCAGUGGCGAAGGCGGCUUUCUGGACUGUAACUGACACUGAGGCACGAAAGCGUGGGGAGCAAACAGGAUUAGAUACCCCAGUAGUCC
This 428-nucleotide ribosomal RNA is filed under the name uncultured bacterium. RNAcentral's name for it is "partial 16S ribosomal RNA". It matches the Rfam family "Bacterial small subunit ribosomal RNA", at positions 354 to 796 of the family's 1533-position model. The record is from RNAcentral.